CUUAUGUAAAUAUAUUUAUCCAGAAAGUAGAGAACUUAUUUGGUGUAAGUUUUAAAAUGAGAGAUCUAAAAAAAUCAUGUCUCCAAAGUCUCUCAAAUUGGAACCUAUAAUUUUUAAACAUUUGCAUAACAUAUAAAAGCCUGUAUAAUAAUUAAUAGCCAGUUCUAUUUUUGAGCAAAAUAUUCAACUGUCAUCAUCAGUUCACAUGAAUUUAUAACUC
Molecule: long non-coding RNA, 220 nt
Filed under: Bos taurus (domestic cattle)
Lineage: Eukaryota; Metazoa; Chordata; Mammalia; Artiodactyla; Bovidae
Description: long non-coding RNA NONBTAT017294
Source: RNAcentral